RNAcentral lists this ribosomal RNA (242 nucleotides) under uncultured bacterium. RNAcentral describes it as "partial 16S ribosomal RNA". It matches the Rfam family "Bacterial small subunit ribosomal RNA", at positions 118 to 350 of the family's 1533-position model. The record is from RNAcentral.
UGAGGAACAUGACUUUCGGUGGGGGAGUAGCCGGCCCAACGGCCGGGUAAUACCGCGUACGACCUUUCGGGGACAUCCCUGAUUGGUGAAAGCAGCAAUGCGCCGAAAGAGUGCCUCGCGGCCUAUCAGCUAGUUGGUGAGGUAACGGCUCACCAAGGCGACGACGGGUAGCUGGUCUGAGAGGAUGGCCAGCCACAUUGGGACUGAGACACGGCCCAGACCUCCGUACGGGGAGGNACGCG